This is a long non-coding RNA of Notothenia coriiceps (black rockcod), 384 nucleotides long. RefSeq lists it as uncharacterized. The record is from RefSeq and is a predicted model, not a curated record. The transcript is spliced from 2 exons. NCBI's taxonomy places the organism in Eukaryota, Metazoa, Chordata, Actinopteri, Perciformes, Nototheniidae.
AGAGUAGAAGUACACCAUGUACCUCUGAACUGUAGAGAGUAGAAGUACACCAUGUACCUCUGAACUGUAGUGAGUAGAAGUACUUUAAACCUCUAGCUACAUGUCACUAAAGGAAUAAUGUUUCUGUCUCUUAUAGUAAAUGUGUAAAAGGUAAUAUUAGAUGUUUCUUGAUGUAUUUGUAUUUGAUUGCUCUGAUGUUUCUGUUGUUUCUCAGAUGACGUACGUCCUGCUGGACAUCGCCGUGCAGGAGCUGUUCCCUGAGCUCAGCAAGGAGUGAACGAGGCGUGUGGAGAGCUGACGUGUGGAUCGCCUGUUUCUGAACUCCUCUUUAAAUUCCAGUGUAUAUAAACCAUUGAAUAAAGAGACAUAUAUUUAUUGAUCUAA